AGUGAACGCUGGCGGUAGGCCUAACACAUGCAAGUCGAACGGCAGCACAGGAGAGCUUGCUCUCUGGGUGGCGAGAGGCGGACGGGUGAGGAAUACAUCGGAAUCUACUUUUUCGUGGGGGAUAACGUAGGGAAACUUACGCUAAUACCGCAUACGCCCUACGGGUGAAAGCAGGGGAUCUUCGGACCUUGCGCGAUUGAAUGAGCCGAUGUCGGUUUAGCUAGUUGGGGGGGUAAAGGCCCACCAAGGCGACGAUCCGUAGCUGAUCUGCGAGGAUGAUGAGCCACACUGGAACUGAGAAACGGUCCAGACUCCUACGGGAGGCAGCAGUGGGGAAUAUUGGACAAUGGGCGCAAGCCUGAUCCAGCCAUACCGCGUGGGUGAAGAAGGCCUUUGGGUUGUAAAGCCCUGUUGUUGGGAAAGAAAUCCAGCUGGUUAAUACCCGGUUGGGAUGACGGUACCCAAAGAAUAAGCACCGGCUAACUUCGUGCCAGCCGCCGCAGUAA
This 506-nucleotide ribosomal RNA is filed under the name uncultured bacterium. RNAcentral's name for it is "partial 16S ribosomal RNA". It matches the Rfam family "Bacterial small subunit ribosomal RNA", at positions 29 to 523 of the family's 1533-position model. The record is from RNAcentral.